Mauremys mutica (yellowpond turtle) is the source of this 1234-nucleotide long non-coding RNA. RefSeq lists it as uncharacterized. NCBI's taxonomy places the organism in Eukaryota, Metazoa, Chordata, Testudines, Geoemydidae. The transcript is spliced from 3 exons. The record is from RefSeq and is a predicted model, not a curated record.
GGCUUCCAUCAGCUUGUCUCUGACUGGCUUAGUUCCAGAAGAACACCCAGUCCUAGCCUCUGAAAGGACUCUGGAAUCCUUGGGGCUUGGAGGUUUUGCCCAUCUGCUUCUCCAAAGGGAGCCUGGUGGUAUUUCCGGGUCCCUCCCUUGGGAUUUGCUCUAAGAUGGUAGGAUGUUCCUGAGCUAGAGAAAGAAAGAAGAUCACAUUUCUAAAUUGGACAAAUUCCCAUUAAAAUAAGGGGCUACCAGUGCUGGUAAGAACUCUGGAAAGGGAAAGGCUGAUAGGUUCCAAUGUUUAUUCACUCCUGAGACAAAUGGCUCUUCUGAUAAUGUUACCACGGACCACUGGGGACUGACCUUCAACUGCCAAGCUCAUUUCAUUUAAGAUAUCAGUUGGAUUAAUAAGCAUUCAGAGUCUGAUCCCAUGAGGUGUAAGGUGCCCUCAACUUCCCUGACAUCAGUGGGGGAGAAGGGGACUCAGGACAGUCCAAUUCCAGGCUCUCUAGGAAGAAUGACUCAUAUGUAUGUUCAGAACAUUCCAAUUUGCAGCACUAGUUGAAGACAGUAAAAUUACAGGUUCCCUUUUAUUUAUAGAAGAAUCUUGGCCUUUUGAAUACAGACAAGCAGAUUAAACAUACAAAAAUCCCUUGGACAAAACAGAUUUUAGCUUUUUCUCUGUCCUCGUACUUGCUUCGUUAGAGCCUGAAAUGUUAGUAGAUUCUGUGGAGAAUGAUUAAUGAUACAUGGUGGGAACCAUUGAGCAUUCUCCUCUCCUUUCCCAAGUAAAGCUCUUUAAUGUAUUAAAUCAAUAUUUCUAAAAAUAGAAAUGAAUGUGUAAGGGAUAAAAAUGCAAUUCUGGGGUGGGAAAGGGUCUUUAAUCACUAUAUACAUAUAUAUUUGCCAAAUGUACAAGUAUUUAUCAUUGAAACCUCCACUGAUGAACUGUUCCCACACUCUAAUAGGCUGUAGGAAGGAUGUAAUAGGGAUUAUAGGGUUCAAUGCUGCAAAGUGCUGAAUGCCCUCAACUCUCAUUGACAGCAGUGAGCAGUGAAGGUGCUUUUGACUGGCAGAAGAUGCUGAGAACCUCACAGUAUCAGGACCUGUUAAGUUCAUUUUUUAAAAAUAUUAUUUUCAAAGUCACCCACCAACUUAUUCAGAAUCUCAGAGAAGAACAGAUUGGUUAUUCAAAAUUUAAUUAGGUAAAUGAUAAAUAUAGUGGCUUGAAUUAUGAAAA